Rhinopithecus roxellana (golden snub-nosed monkey) is the source of this 18469-nucleotide long non-coding RNA. RefSeq lists it as uncharacterized. The transcript is spliced from 7 exons. NCBI's taxonomy places the organism in Eukaryota, Metazoa, Chordata, Mammalia, Primates, Cercopithecidae. The record is from RefSeq and is a predicted model, not a curated record.
CUUCCUCUCUCGGGGCUGGAAGCUUCCUGACUGAAGAUCUCUCUGCACUUGGGGUUCUUUCUAGAACAUUUUCUAGUCCCCCAACACCCCUUAUGGCGUAUUUCUUUAAAAAAAUCACCUAAAUUCCAUAAAAUAUUUUUUAAAAUUCUAUACUUUCUCCUAGUGUUUUCUUGACACGUCCUCCAUAUUUUUUUUUAAAAAAGUAUUUGGAAUAUUUUGAGGCAAUUUUUAAUUUUUAAGGAAUUUUUUUUGGAAUCAUUUUUGGUUGACAUCUUUGAUUUUGUGGAUCAGUUUUCCACUCUUCCACUUUCUUUUCUAUAUUUUGCCCAUCGGGGCUGCGGAUACCUGGUUUUAUUAUUUUUUCUUUGCCCAACGGGGCUGUGGAUACCUACCUUUUAAUUCCUUUUUAUUCGCCCAUCGGGGCCGCGGAUACCUGCUUUUUAUUUUUUUUUUUUUCCUUAGCCCAUCGGGGCAUCGGAUACCUGCUGAUUCCCUUCCCCUCUGACCCCCCAACACUCUGGCCCAUCGGGGUGACGGAUACCUGCUUUUUAAAAAUUUUCUUUUUUUGGCCCAUCGGGGCUUCGGAUACCUGCUUUUAUUUUUUAUUUUUCCUUGCCCAUCGGGGCCUCGGAUACCUGCUUUAAUUUUUGUUUUUCUGGCCCAUCGGGGCCGCGGAUACCUGCUUUGAUUUUUUUUUUCCAUCGCCCGUCGGUGCCUUUUAUGGAUGAAAAAAUAUUGGUUUUGUGGGUUGUUGCACUCUCUGGAAUAUCUACACUUUUUUUGCUGCUGAUCAUUUGGUGGUGUGUGAGUGUACCUAUGGCUUUGGCAGGGAAUGACUCUGCAGUUAAGCUAAGGGCGUGGAGGAAAAGUGGCCGCCAUUUUAGACUUGCCGCAUAACUCAGCUUAGGGCUAGUCGUUUGUGCUAAGUUUAAACUAGGGAGGCAAGAUGGAUGAUAGGUCAGGCAGAGGAAGUCAUGUGCAUUGCAUGAGCUAAACCUAUCUGAAUGAGUUGAUUUGGGGCUUGUUACGAGCUUUGCGUGAUUGUUGUAUCGGGAGGCAGUAAGAUAGAAUCGUCUUUCGUCAGUACAAGGCACUCCUUGAGAAUGAAAGGUUAGAAAAGACUAAGGUGCAAGGCUUAAAAUGGCGAUUUUGACAUUGCGGCAUUGCUCAGCAUGGCGGGCUGUGCUUUGUUAGGUUGUCCAAAAUGGCGGAUCCAGUUCUGUCGCAGUGUUCAAGUGGCGGGAAGGCCACAUCAUGAUGGGCGAGGCUUUGUUAAGUGGUUAGCAUGGUGGUGGACAUGUGCGGUCACACAGGAAAAGAUGGCGGCUGAAGGUCUUGCCGCAGUGUAAAACAUGGCGGGCCUCUUUGUCUUUGCUGUGUGCUUUUCGUGUUGGGUUUUGCCGCAGGGACAAUAUGGCAGGCGUUGUCAUGUGUAUAUCAUGGCUUUUGUCACGUGGACAUCAUGGCGGGCUUUUGCUCGGUGCAAUCUUGGCGGGCUUGCCGCAUUGUUAAAGAUGGCGGGUUUUGCCGCCUAGUGCCAUGCAGAGCGGGAGAGAAAGUGGGAUGGACAGUGCUGGAUUGUCGCAUAACCCAACCAAUUAGAAAUGGGGGUGGAAUUGAUCACAGCCAAUUAGAGCAGAAGAUGGAAUUAGACUGAUGACACACUGUCCAGCUACUCAGCGAGGACUUGGGUGAAUUAGCAUAGCACUUCGCAGCUGUCUUUAGCCAGUAAAAGAAAGAAGUGGAGGGGCCACGUGUAUGUCUCCCAGUGGGCGGUACACCAGGUGUUUUCAAGGUCUUUUCAAGGACAUUUGGCCUUUCCACCUCUGUCCCCUCUGAUUUGUCACCUCCUGUCCAGUGCUGCCUCUUGCAGUGCUGGAUAUCUGGCUGUGUGGUCUGAACCUCACCUCAUCCCUCUGUAUUGGUGCCGCACCUAAGGCUAAGUAUACUUCCGCUCACCCCCCCCCACCCCCCCCACUCCCCCAACUCCCUACCCCCCACCGCCCCACCCCCUCUGGUCUGCCCUGCACUGCACUGCGGCCAUGCGCAGUGCUCCAGGCCUGCUUGGUGUGGACAUGGUGGUGACCCGUGUCAAGGACCAGAAUGGAUUACAGAUGAUCGUUGGCCAACAGGUGGCAGAAGAGGAAUUCCUGCCUUCCUCAAGAGGAACACCUACCCCUUGGCUUAUGCUGGGGUCGGAUUUUGAUUUAUAUUUAUCUUUUGGAUGUCAGUCAUACAGUCUGAUUUUGUGGUUUGCUAGUGUUUGAAUUUAAGUCUUAAGUGACUGUUACAGAAAUGUAUUAAGAGGCUUUAUUUGUAGAAUUCAUUUUAAUUACAUUUAAUGAGUUUUUAUUUUGAGUUCCUUAAAAUUCCUUAAAGUUUUUAGUUUCUCUUUACAAAUUCCUUAACCUUUUGGCAGUAGAUAGUCAAAGUCAAAUCAUUUCUAAUUUUUAAAAAAUGUGCUGAUUAUUGUCUUUGAAAUUGACUUAACUACUUUCCUUUGGAUUUUGAAGAGUCUGUAGCACAGAAACAGUUAAAAAUUUAACUUCAUGAUCUAAUGUAAAAAAGAGUGUUUGAAGGUUUACACAGGUCCAGGCCUUGCUUUGUUCCCAUCCUUGAUGCUGCACUAAUUGACUAAUCACCUACUUAUCAGGCAGGAAACUUGAAUUGCUGUGGUCUGGUGUCCUCUAUUCAGACUUAUAUGGGAGUAUUAAUGUCCACAUUUCAAUUUUUUGUUGUAUUCUGCCUGCCUAGCAUCCAGUUCCUCCCCAGCCCUGCUCCCAGCAAACCCCCCUAGUCUAGCCCCAGCCCUUCUCCCACCCCACCCCAGCCCUGCCCCAGCCCCUGCCCCUGCCCCAGCCCCAGCCCGACCCCAGCCCCAGCUCCAGCCCCCUAAGCCCCCAGCCCUAGCCCCAGUCCUAGUUCCUCAGUCCCGCCCAGCUUCUCUGGAAAGUCACUCUAAGUUUCAUUGAUUCAGUGCUCAAAAUAAGUUGUCCAUUGCUUAUCCUAUUAUACUGGGAUAUUCUGUUUAUCCUUGGCAUCGCUGAUCUUCAGUACUGACUCCUUGACCAUUUUCAGUUAAUGCAUACAAUCCCAUUUGUCGGUGAUCUCAGAACGGAAUUUCUUUACUCAGUACGUUGAAGUUAGGGAAUGUCAAUUGAGAGCCUUCUAUCAGAGCAUUAUUGCCCACAGUUUGAGUUACUAAUCAUUUUCCCAAUCCCCUGCCCUUAAAGGAGAAACCAUUUCUCUGUCAUUGCUUCUGUAGUCACAGUCCCAAUUUUGAGUAGUGACCUUUUAUUGUGUACUGUGUUGGCCACCUAAAACGCUUUGCAUUGAGUAAAAUUCUAAUUGCCAAUAAUCCUACCCAUUGGAUUAGACAGCACUCUGAACCCCAUUUGCAUUCAGUAGGGGGUCUCAGACAACCCGUCUUUUGUUGGACAGUUAAAAUGCUCAGUCCCAAUUGUCAUAGCUUUGCGUAUUAAACAAAGGCACCCUACUGCGCUUUUUGCUGUGCUUCUGGAGAAUCCUGCUGUUCUUGGACGAUUAAAGAACAAAGUAGUAAUUGCUAAUUGUCUCACCCAUUAAUCUUGAAGGCUACCAGUCGCCCUUGCAUUUGCCUUGAGGCAGUGCUGACUACCUGAGAUUUAAGAGUUUCUUAAAUUAUUGAGUAAAAUCCCAAUUAUCCAUAGUUCUGUUAGUUACAGUAUGGCCUUUGCAAACAUCUUUGCGUAACAGCAGAGGGACUCAUUCUUAGAGCCCCUUCCCUUGGAAUAUUAAUGGAUACAAUAGUAAUUAUUCAUGGUUCUGCCUAACAAGAGAGACUCACUUAUAUGUAUGCCCUUAUCAUUGCUCAUAGGUAGUGUGAACUGCCUACCACCUGGCAUUAAUAUGUAAAACACUAAAUGCCUAUGGUCCCACUCGUUAGUCUAGGAUAUCUCCUUUGCCAUUGCUGCUGAGUUCUGACUACCCAAGUUCCCUUCUCUUAAACAGUUGAUAUGCAUAAUUGCAUAUAUUCAUGGUUCUGUGCAAUAAAAAUGGAUUCCCACCCCAUCCCACCUUCUGUGGGAUAUUGCUAACGAGUGCAGAUUAUUCAAUAACAGCCCUUGGACAGUUAAUUUGCACAGUUGAAAUUGUCCAAAGUCCUGUCCAUUAGAAAGGGACUCUGUAUCCUAUUUGCAUGUUACAAUGUGGGCUGAUCACCCAAGGACUCUUCUUGUGCAUUGAUGUUCAUAAUUGUGUUUGUCCACGAUCUUGUGCACUAACCCUGCCACUCCCUUUGUAUUCCAGCAGGGGACCCUUACUACUUAAGACCUCUGUACUAGGACAGUUUAUGUGCACAAUCCUAAGUGAUUAGAACUGAGUCUUUUAUAUCAUGGUCCCUGCAUCAUCUUUGCUUUACAUCAAGAGGGUGCUGGUUACCUAAUGCCCCUCCUCCAGAAAUUAUUGAUGUGCAAAAUGCAAUUUCCCUGUCUGCUGUUAGUCUGGGGUCUCAUCCCCUCAUAUUCCUUUUGUUUUACAGCAGGGGGUACUUGGGACUGUUAAUGCGCAUAAUUACAAUUAUGGUCUUUUCCAUUAAAUUAAGAUCCUAACCCUCUUAGCAUUACAGUAGAGGGUGCUAAUCACAAAGACUUUUCUUUUGUACUGUUAAUGUGCUACUUGCAUUUGUCCCUCUUCCUGUGCACUAGAGACCCCACUUACUUCCCUUGUGCUCAGGAGUGGAUGACCUCUACUCAAGACCUUUGUACUAGGAUAGUUAAUGUGAACCAUGGCAGUUCAUCACAGCAAUGUCUUUCAGAUCACAUCCAUUGUACCCUCCUUGUUUUACAGCAAGGGGUAUUAAUUACCCAUGUUACCUUUUCCUGGGACUAUGAAUGUGCAAAAUUCCGAUGUUAGUGAUCUCUCCCUUUAAACCAAUGUUCUACCCCUUUUAUAUUAUAUAAAGGGAUGCUGGCAACCCAAAGUCCUUCUCUUGGGACUCUUAAUGUGUAUAUUUCUAAUUGUCCACGACUCUUAAUGUGCAUAUUUUCAAUUGUCUGUGGUACCUCGCAGUAAGCUAAUAUCUUGACUCCUCAGUAUCAUAGCAGGGGGUACUGAUUUCCUGAAGUCUUUCUUGAACUUCCAGUGUGCAAAAUUGCCCUGAGGCCGGGUGUGGUGGCUCACACCUGUAAUCCCAGCACUUUGGGAGGCUGAGGUGGAAGGAUUCCUUAAGGCCAGGAGUUUGAGACCAGCCUGGCCAACAUGAAAGAAAAAUAAAGUAAAACAGUUGCCCUGGAAUCCCAUCCCCCUCAUCCCUCCUUGGCAUAGCAGCAGGAGUGCUAAGCUAGUUCUCCUAUACUGCUUAAAUGCGCAUAAUUAACAGUAGUUGAUGUGCCUCUAUGUUAGAGUGGAAUUCCCGCUUCCUUGCUCCAUUUGCAUUACUGCAGGAGCUUCUAACUAGCCUGAAUUCAUUCUCUUGGACUGUUAAUGUGCAUACUUACAUUUAUUCCUGUACCUUUUUACCAUGCAAGGACCCCACCCACUCUAUUUACAUCCCAGCAGGAAGUACCUACUACUUAAGACCCUUUGACUAGUAAAGUUAGCAUGCAUAAUCUUAGUUGUUAUAUACACAUUUUCAUUUGUACACAGCUGUGCCUUUUAUCAGGACUCCUGUACUUAUCAAAGCAGAGAGUGCUAACCAACAUUAAGUCCUUCUUCGGACUGUAGAUGCAUGUAUUUGCAGUUGUCAGUGGUCCUUCAAUUAGACUUGGGUUUCUGACCUUUCACACCCUCUUUGCUUUAUUGCAUGGGGUACUAUUCACUUAAGGCCUCUUUCUCAAACUGUUAAUGUGCCUAAUGACAAUUACAUUAGGAUCCUUCCUUUUGAAGGACAGCAUGGUUGGUGACACCUAAGGCCCCAUUUCUUGGCCUCUCAAUAUGUGUGACUGUAUUUGUCCAGGUUGCUAUGCACUAGUGAAGGGAAGUGCCCCCCUCAUCACCACUUUUCCCUUCCAGCAGGAAGUGCCCACCCCAUAAGACCCUUUUAUUUGGAGAGUCUAGGUGCACAAUUGUAAGUGACCACAAACAUGCCUCUUGGACAUUAAUGUGCGUAAUUGCACACUGCUCAUUCCAUGUGAAUAAGGUCCUACUCUCCAACCCCUUUUGCACUACAGAAGGGGUGCUGAUAACCAAGUUCCCUUUUCGUGCCAUGUUAUGUGUGAUUAUAAUUGUCUGGGAUCCUAUGCACUAGAAAAGGAGGGUCCUCCCACAUACCUCAGUCUCACCUUUCCCUUCCAGCAGGGAGUGCCCACUCCAUAAGACUCUCAAAUUUGGACAGUCAAGAUGUGUAAUUGUUAAGUGAACACAACCAUGCACCUUAGACAUGGAUGUGCAUAACUACACAUAGCUCAUCCUAUCUGAAUAAAAUCCUACUCUCAGACCCCUUUUGCAGUACAGCAGGGAUGCUGAUCACCAAGGCCCUCUUUCCUGGCCUGGUAUGUGUGCGAAUAUGUUUGUCUUGGUUCCUGUGUACUAGAUGUGGAAGCCUCCCCCGCCACACCCCCACCCCAAUCUUUCUUUCCCUCCGGCAGGGAGUCCCUGUUCCGUAAGACCCUUACAUUUGGACAAUCAAGGUGCACAACUGUAAGUGACCACAGGCAUGCACGUUGGACAUUAAUGUGCAUAACUGUACAUGGCCCAUUUCAUCUGAAUAAGGCCCUACUCUCAGACCCUUUUUGCAAUGCAGCAGGGGUGCUGAUCACCAGGGCCCCUUUUCCUGGCCUGUUACGUAUGUGAUUAUAUUUGUCUGGGUUCCUGUGUGUUAGACAUGGAAGCCUCCCCUGCCACACCCCACCCUCAAUCUUCCUUUCCCUUCCGGCAGGGAGUGCCCCUUUCAUAAGACGCUUACAUUUGGGCAAUCAAGGUGCACAGUUGUAAGUGACCACAGGCACGCACCUUGGACAUUAAUGUGCGUAAUUGCACAUUGCCCAUUCCAUCUGAAUAAGGUCCUACUCUCAGACCUCUUGCAGUACAGCAGGGGUGCUGAUCACCAAGGCCCCUUUUCCUGGCCUGUUUUGUGGGUGAUUAUAUUUGUCUGGGUUCCUGUGUAUUAGACAAGGAAGCCUUUCCCCUCCUCCGCCCCCACUCCCAGUCUUCCUUUCCCUUCCAGCAGGGAGUACCGUCUCCAUAAGACCAUUACAUUUGGACAAUCAAGGUGCACAAUUGUAAGUGACUACAGCCAUGCACCUUGGACAUUAAUGUGCAUAACUGCACAUGGCCCAUCCCAUCUGAAUAAGGUCCUACUCUCAGAUGCCUUUUGCAGUACAGCAGGGGUGCUAAAUCACCAGGGCCCUUUUUCCUGGCCUGUUAUGUGUGAUUAUAUUUGUCCUGGUUUCUGUGUAAUAGACACGAAAGCCUCCCCUGCCACACCCCACCUCCAAUCUUCGUUUCCCUUCCAGCAGGGAGUGUCCACUCCAUAUACCCUUACAUUUGGACAAUCAAGGUGCACAAUUGUAAGUUACCACAGGCACGCACUUUGGACACUAAUGUGCGUAACUGCACAUGGCCCAUCCCAUCUGAAUAAAGUCCUACUCUCAGAUCCUUUUCGCAGUACAGCAGGGGUGCUGAUCACCAGGGCCCCUUUUCCUGGCCUGUUAUGUGUGUGAUUAUAUUUCUUCCAGUUCCUGUGUAAUAGACAUGGAAACCUCCCCUGCCACACUCCACCCCCAAUCUUCCUUUACCUUCCGGCAGGGAGUGCCUGCUCCAUAAGACCCUUACAUUUGGACAAUCAAGGUGCACAAUUGUAAGUGACCACAACCAUGCACCUUGGACAUAAAUGUGUGUAACUGCACAUGGCCCAUCCCAUCUGAAUAAGGUCCUACUCUCAGACCCCUUUUGCAGUACAGUAGGGGUGCUGAUAACCAAGGCCCCUUUUCCUGGCCUGUUAACGUACGUGAUUAUAUUUGUCUGGGUUCCAGUGUAUAAGACAUAGAAGCCUCCCCUGCCCCACCCCAACCCCAAUCUUUUCCUUCUGGCAGGGAGUGCCUGCUCCAUAAGAACCUUACAUUUGGACAGUCAAGGUGCACAAUUGUAAGUGACCACAGCCAUGCACCUUAGACAAUAAUGUGUGUAACUGCACACGACCUAUCUCAUCUGAAUAAGGUCCUACUCUCAGACCCCUUUUGCAGUACAGCAGGGGUGCUGAUAACCAAGGCCCAUUUUCUUGGCCUGUUAUGUGUGUGAUUAUAUUUGUCCGGGUUUCUGUGUACUAGACAAGGAAGCCUCCUCUGCCCUACCCUACCUACCUGUAAUCUUCCUUUUCCUACCAGCAGGGAGUGCUCACUCCAUAAGACCCUUACAUUUGGACAAUCAAGGUGCACAAUUGUAGGUGACCACAACCAUGCAUCUUGGAAAUUGACGUGCAUAACUGCACACGGCUUAUCCUAUUUGAAUACGGUCCUACUCUCAGACCCCCUUUGCAGUAUAGCUGGGGUGCUGAUCACUAAGGCCUCUUUUCUUGGCUUGUCUGUAUUCUUGUGUACUAGCUAAGGACACCUUCUCAUGGACUCCCUUUGCUUUUCAAGAAGGAGUACCUAUUACUUUAAGAUUCUUAUAUUUGUCCAAAGUACAUGGUUUUAAUGGACCACAACAGUGUCCCUUGGACGUUAAUGUAUAUAAUCACCACAUGGUUCAUCCUAAUUAAACAAGGUCGUACCCUCUCACCCUCCAUUUGCAGUAUACCAGGGUUGCUGACCCCUAAGUCCCAUUUUCCUGGCUUAUUGACAUGCAUAAUUGCAUUUAUGUGGGUUCUUGUGCCCUAGACAAGGAUGCCCCACCUCUUUUCAAUAGUGGGUGCCCACUCCUUAUGAUCUUUACAUUUGAACAGUUAAUGGGAAUAAUUGCAGUUGUCCACAACCGUAUCACUUCUAGGACCAUUGCACCUCUUUUGCAUUACUGUGGGAUAUAAUGCUUGCCUGCAAGGCCCCUUCUGGUGGACUAUCAACAUACAUAAUUGAAAUUUUCUUUUGUCUUUGUCAGUAGAUUAAAGUCAUACCCCAUCACCUUUCCUUUGUAGUACAGCAGGGUGUCCUGAUCAACCAAAGUCCUGUUAUUUUGGACUGUUAAUAUGCGCAAUUACAUUUGCUCCUGGUCUGUGCACUAGAUAAGGAUCCUGCCUACUUUCUUAGCGUUUUUAGCAGGUAGUGCCCACUACUCAAGACUCUUUCACUUGGAAUGUUCAUGUGCACAAACACAAUUCUCUAAGCAUGUUCCUGUACCACCUUUGCUUUAGAGCAGGGGGAUGAUAAUCACUUAGUGCCCCUUCUCUUGGACUUAAUAUGCAUUAAUGCAAUUGUCCACCUCUUCUUUUAGACUAAGACUUGAUCUCCACAUACUCCCCUUGCAUCAGGGGGAUAUUAAUUAUGAAUGAACCCUUUUCUUUUAAUAUUAAUGUCACAAUUUUAUUUGUGGACCUGUGUAGUAGAAAAAGACUCUAUGUUCCUUCUACUACCCUUUGGAUUGCUGCUGAAAAGUGCUAACUGCUCAUAAUCUCAGCUCUUGGACAAUUAAUAUGCAUUAAUAACAGUUAUCAAGGGCACUGAUCAUUAGAUAAGACUCCUGCCUCCUCGUGCAUACAUCGGGGUACUGACCCACUAAGGCCCCUUGGACUGUUAAUGUGAAUAUUUGCAAUUAUACAUGUCUCCUUCUGUUAGAAUGGGAUAUUAUGCCUUAGUAUCCCCUUUGCUUUACUGCAGGGGCUGCCAACUACUCAAAACUUCUCCUGGGACUGUUAAUAGGCACAAUGGCAGUUAUCAAUGGUUUUUUCCCUCACUGAUCUUGUUAAGCAAGCACUGCACCCCACUCUUAGUUUCCCAUGGCAUAAUAAAGUAUAAGCAUUGGAAUAUUCCAUGCACUUGUCCAUCAAACAGUGGACCAUACUCCCACCCCUUCUGCAUUGCACCAGUGUGUAAAAUCACAGGUAGCCAUGGUGUCAUGCUUUAUGUACGAAGUCUUGCCUUUCUGCCCCUUGUGUGCCCUUGGCCCCUUUUUACAGACUAUUGCUCACAAUCUUAGAUAUCCAUAUAUCCAGAUAUUAGAUAAGAUUGUGCUCUCUCCCUCCUCCCUUCCCCCUGGCCUGCCCCAUUUGCCUCUUUGCUGGGUAAUGUUGACUGGACAAGGCCCUUUCUCUUGGAUUUAAAAAAUACUCAGUUGCACUUUCCUUGGUCCCAUCCAUUAUACAUGAACCCCUCUACUUCCUUUUGUAUUGCUUCUGAGUAUGCUGACUACCCAAAGCCCCUUCUGUGUUAUUAAUGAACACAGUACUGAUUGUCCCAUUUUUCAGCCCAUCAGUCCAAGAUCUCCCUACCACUUUGUUGUGUUUGUGCAGUGUUGACUAUGAAAAGCAGGCCUGAACUAGGUGGAUAAGCCUUCAUUCAUUUUCUUUCAUUUAUUAAUGAUCCCAGUUUCAAUUAUUGUCAGAUUCUAGGGACAAGAACCAUUCUUACCCACCUCUGUUACUGCUUUACUGUGCGAAAUACUCAAGGCAAGUCAGACCCAGGGAGCUGGAUUGCCAUCUUUUAUUUUGUGUUUCCAGUGUGCACUAUCAAAUUGUCUCCCCAGUAAGGAAGGUUGGCACUUUCUCUGCAUUCUUCUUUCCAGAGCAGAUUGCCUGGUUAAGAAUCUCUUGUUGUUCCCUUUGUAUAUUGUUAUUGUAAAGUGCCAAAUGCCAGGAUACAGCCAGAAAAAUUGCUGUUAUUAUUAUUUAAAAAAAUUUUUUAAGAAAGACAUCUGGAUUGUAGACUGGACUCAGUAACCUGGUCAUUAUUUUUUUGAAGCCAAAAAAUCCAUUUAUACUAUGUGCCUGAUGACCAGUGUCUCAUUUUAACUGAGGGUGGUGGGUCUGUGGAUAGAACACUGACUCUUGCUACUUUAAUAUUAUCAAAGGCGUUCUAGAGUGGAACUCUUAAGACCAGUAUCUUUGUGUGGGCUUUACCAGGAUUCAUUUUUAGAAAAACUACCUAAAUUUUAUAAUCCUUAAAUUUUUUCAUCUGGAGCACCUGCCCCUACUUAUUUCAAGAAGAUUGCAGUAAAACGAUUAAAUGAGGGAACAUAUGCAGAGGUGCUUUUAAAAAGCAUAUGCCACCUUUUUUUAUUAAUUCGUCUAUCAUAUAAAAUGAAGCAUUUAAUUAUACUAAUAAUUUGAAGUAGUUCGAAGUACCACACUGAGGUGAGGACUUAAAAAUGAUAAGACCAGUUCCCUAUUUUAUAAGAAAAAUAAGCCAAAAUUAAAUAUUCUUUUGGAUAUAAAUUUCAACAGUGAGAUAGCUGCCUAGUGGAAAUGAAUAAUAUCCCAGCCACUAGUGUACAGGGUGUUUUGUGGCAAAGGAGUAUGUAACAUGGAACUGCUCAAGCAAAUAACUAGUUAUCACAACAGCAGUUCUUUGUAAUAACUGAAAAAGAAUAUUGUUUCUCUGAGAAGGAUGUCAAAAGAUCGGCCCAGCUCAGGGAGCAGUUUGCCCUACUAGCUCCUCGGACAGCUGUAAGAAGAGUCUCUGGCUCUUUAGAAUACUGAUUCCACUGAAGAUACCAUGCUGCACGUGUCCUUAGUAGUCAUGUCUCCUUAGGCUCCUCUUGGACAUUCUGAGCAUGUGAGACCCGAGAACUGCAAACAGCUGCAAGAGGCUUCAAAUUCAGCAUAUCGUUCCUUUUGAGAAUCUGGCCAAGCUCCAGCAAAUCUACUUGGAUGGGUUGCCAGCCACCUGGAGAAAAAGAUCUUCCUCAGAAGAAUAGGCUUGUUGCUUUACAGUGUUAGUGAUCCAUUCCCUUUGACGAUCCCUAGGUGGAGAUGGGGCAUGAGGAUCCUCCAGGGGAAAAGGUCACUACCACUGGGCAACAACCCUAGGUCAGGAGGUUCUGUCAGGAUACUUUCCUGGUCCCAGAUGGGAAGAUAAAGUCUCAAAAACAACCACCACACGUCAAGCUCUUCAUUGUUCCUAUCUGCCAAAUCAUUACACUUCCUACAAGCAGUGCAGAGAGCUGAGUCUUCAGCAGGUCUAAGAAAUUUGAACACAUUGAAGGAGGUCAGCCUUCCUACCUGAAGAUCAACAUGCUUGGCACUCUAGCACUUUAGGAGAGCUGAAUGAAUGUGUAUUUCUUAGUCUCUUUCUUCCUUGUCUUUGCUCUUUGUUCUCUAUCUAAAGUGUGUCUUACCCAUUUCCAUCUUUUUCUUGCUAAUUUCUUUCAUGUGUGCCUUUGCCUCAUUUUCUCUUUUUGUUCACAAGACUGGUCUGUGCUUUGUCUUAGACAUAUCUCUCAUUUUUCCUUUUGUUGCUGUUUCUCUUUGCUCUCCUAAAUGUGGCUCUUCUUUCACGCUUUAUUUCAUGUCUCCUUUUUGGGUCACGUGUGUGCUUUUUGUCCUCCUCUUGUUCUGUCUACCUCUCCUUUCUCUGCCUACCUCUCUUUUCUCUUUGUGAACUGUGAUUAUUUGUUACCCCUUCCCCUUCUUGUUCGUUUUAAAUUUCACCUUUUUUCUGAGUCUGGCCUCCUUUCUACUGUUUCUACUUUUUAUCUCACAUUUCUCAUUUCUACAUUUCCUUUCUGCCUCUCUUGGGCUAUUUUCUCCCUUUUUCCUCCCCUGCGUGCCUCAGCAUCUCUUGCUGUUUGUGCUUUUCUAUUUCAGUAUUAAUCUCCGUUGGCUUGUGUUUCUUCUCUGCUUCUUCCCUUUCUACUCACCUUUGAGUAUUUCAGCCUCUUCAUGAAUCUAUCUCCCUCUCUUUGAUUUCAUGUAAUCUUCUCUCCUUAAGUAUUUCUUUGCAUAUGUGGGCAUGUAUACGUGUGUGUGUGUCAUGUGUGGCAGAGGGGCUUCCUAACCCCUGCUUGAUAGGUGCAGAACGUCGGCUAUCAGAAUGAGCGUUGUGGAGCGGUUCCUUAUGCCAGGCUGCCGUGUGAGAUGAUCCAAGACCAAAACAAGGCCCUAGAGUCUAGACUGCAGUAAAACCCAAUACUCAAGUAGGACAGAAGGUGGAAGGCUCAUAUGGAUAAAAGGCCCAAAGUAGAAGACAGAUGGUUUGAGACUUGAGACCCGAGGACUAAGAUGGAAAGCCCAUGUUCCAAGAUAGAUAGAAGCCUCAGGCCUGAAACGAACAAAAGCCUCAAGAGCCAAGAAAACAGAGGGUGGUCUGAAUUGGACAGAAGGCCUGAGUUGGAUGGACGUCUCAAGUCUUGAAUUCGAAGUCUUAAGACCUGGGACAGGACACAUGGAAGGCCUAAGAACUGAGACUUGUGACACAAGGCCAAAGACCUAAGAUUAGCCCAGGGUUGUAGUUGGAAGACCUACAACCCAAGGAUGGAAGGCCUCUGUCACAAAGCCUACCUAUAUGGAUAGAGGACCCAAGUGAAACAGAUAUCUCAAGACUAAAGGCCGGAAUCUGGAGGUCCAUGACCCAGAACCCAGGAAGGAUGGAAGCUUGAAGACCUGGGGAAAUCCCAAGAUGAGAACCCCAAACCCCACCUCUUUUCUAUUGUUUAUACUUCUUACUCUUACAUAUUUCCAGUUCUCCUGUUUCUCUUUAAGCCUGAUUCUUUUGAGAUGUACUUUUUGAUGUUGCCAGUUACCUUAAAGGAACAUAUCUUUAGAUUGACAGUAUUAUGCCUGGGCCAGUCUUGAGCCAGCUUUAAAUCACAGCUUUUACCUAUUUGUUAGGCUUUAGUGUUUUGUAAACUUCUGUUUCUAUUCACAUCUACUCCACUUGAGAGAGACACCAGAAUCCAGUCAGUAUCUAAUCUGGAUUUUGUUAUUCCCCUCAGGAGCAAACAUUCAUAUAGGUGAUACUGUAUUUCAGUCCCCUCUUUUAACCCCAGAAUCCCUAGACUGAGAAGAUAAAAUGGUCAGGUUGUUGGGGAAAAAAAGUGCCAGGCCCUCUAGAGAAAAAUGUGAAGAGAUGCUCCAGGCCAAUGAGAAGAAUUAGACAAGAAAUACACAGAUGUGCCAGACUUCUGAGAAGCAUCUGCCAGCAACAGCUUCCUUCUUUGAGCUUAGGUGAGCAGGAUUCUGGGGUUUGGGAUUUCUAGUGAUGGUUAUGGAAAGGGUGACUGGGCCUGGGACAAAGUGAGGUCCCAAGGGGAUAGCCUGAACUCCCUGCUCAUAGUAGUGGCCAAAUAAUUUGGUGGACUGUGCCAACCCUACUCCUGGGUUUAAUACCCGUCUCUAGGCUUAAAGACGAGAGAACCUGGGACUAUUGAGCACAGAUUUUUUUCCUUCCUGUUUAUGUGGGAAGUUGAUUUAAAUGACUGAUAAUGUAUAUGAAAGCACUGUAAAAUGUAAGAGAAAAACCAAGCCGUGCUCCUUAAUAGUGCAUUGGCAAUCAUGCAUAGUUAACAUUUGAAAGUGCAUAGUUAACAUUUGAAACUGUAAGGGGUCAAAAUCAUAAAUACUUUAGACUGUGGGCCAUACGGUUUCUGUUACGUAUUUGUUUUUUAAACAACCUUUUUAUAAGGUCAAAAUCAUUCUUAGUUUUUGAGCCAAUUGGAUUUGGCCUGCUGCUCAUAGCUUACCACCCCCUGAUGUAUUAUUCGUUAUUCAGAUAAAAUGUCUGAAUACUAAUAAUUUCCUUUUCUGUGCCUGUCCCUGUGCUAGGCACUCAAAAUGCAAUGAUUAUUCACAUGUAGGUGACCUGAAGAAAAAUAGUGAAUAUGCUUUGUAAACUAUAAAGCACUUGUAUUCUACUGUGAUAAACAUUGUGGAUACAAAGAAAGGAGCAAGCAUAAAAAAGUGCUCUUUCAAAAGGAUAUAGUACUAUGCAGACACAAAGAAUUGUUUGAUAAAUGAAUAAAUUAUAUGUAUAUUUGAGGCCAGUUUGUGUUUGCUGCUCUGGUAAUUUUGAGUAAAAAUGCAGUAUUCCAGGUAUCAGAAACGAAAACACAUGGAAACUGCUUUUAAACUUUAAAGUAUACUGAAAACAUAAGGGACUCAGCUUAUUGUGGUCACCUAUAAUGUGCCAGAUACCAUGCUGGGCACUAGAGCUACCAAAGGGGAAAAAAAUACUCUCAUAGAACAAAAAAUUUCAGAAAGGUGCGUAUUAAAGUGCUUUGUAAACUAAAGCACAAUACAAAUGUCAAUGGGCUACAUAUUUAUGAAUGAAUGAAUGAAUGAAAUUAACUGCCUCUUACAUACCAGCUAUUGUUUUGGGUACUGUGAAAUACAAGAUUAAUUCUCCUAUAAUAAAAGGAAAGUUUAUCCUCUAGACUAUUCAGAUGUAAGGAAUGAGAUAUUGCUUGAUUUUAAACAAUCAAGACGUUACUGGUGAGGUUGAGUUAAAUUACUACCGGUACAUUUUCCCGGGUAACCGGGAAGGAGCUAGUAUAGGAAAUGAAGUAAUAGAAGUGAGGUCCAGACCAAAAGUCACUUAAUUAAGCUUGCGAAUGUGCUUUCUAAAUUAUAAAGCACUUGUAAAUGUGAAAAAUUCGAUGCUUUCUGUAUGAAUAAAACUUUCUGUAAGAUAGGUAUUGUCUCUACAAAAUUCUCAUUGUAUACUUAAACCACAAUGAGAAGGGUUCUAUAAGUAGUUAUACAAACCAAGGGUUUAAAUACCUGUUAAAUGGAUCAAUUUUGAUUGCCUACUAUGUGAACUCAUUGUUAAAGGCACUGAAAAUUUACCAUAUUUCAUUUACCCACAGCCAAAAAUAAGGCAAUACCUAUGUUAGCAUUUUGUGAACUCUGAGGCACCAUGUAAAUGUAACUGUUGAUUUUCUUACUUGGUGCUGAGUACUAGGUUAUACAAUUGUGUGAUAGUUAUUAUAUUGUGCAAAUAAAGUAGGAAAAUUUGAGUAACAAUGAUUAACUUUUGAAUACGCAUAUGCAAGGGAUUGGUUGUCUGAAGAAUGCCACUAUAGUAGUUAUCUACUGUGUGCCAAUCUCAUUGCUAGGCAUUGGGGAUGCAAAGAUAAACCAUCUUUAUUGUGUCCUGGGUAGCAGAAGAAAAUAAGUGUAAAAUCAAUUUAUAAUUUCUAAACUGCCACCCAUAUAUAAGCAGUAUCUGCUGAAUGAUCAUUGAUUACUCAUAUCCUUAGAGAUAACAGCUGGGGGCACAAACAUUUAUUAUAAUUAUUGAACCUACAACAGAGACCUUUGUGUAGAUUUACAAAGCCUACAGUUCUAUACAAAUAGGAACGAACUAUUGGCUUACUGAAUGGUGAUUACGUUCUGAUUUACAAAGCCUACAGUUCUAUACAGAUAGGAAUGAACUAUUGGCUUACUGAAUGGUGAUUACUUUCUGUGGGGCUCGGAACUACAUGCCCUAGGAUAUAAAAAAAGAUGUCAUCAUUAUAGAGUGCUCACAGAAGGAAAUGAAGUAAUAGGUGUGAGAUCCAGACCAAAAGUCACUUAAUAAGUUUAUUCAAUGAUGAAAACAUGGGACAAAUGGACUUAAGCUAAGUAGAGAGAUAAAGUCCUGUCCAGAAGAUAUGUGCUCCCUGGCCUGAUUGAAGAGAUGGAAAAUUUUCGCAAAAAACAAGGUGUUGUGGUCUUCCAUCCAGUUUCUUAAGUACUGAUGAUAGAAGUGAAUUAGACCCACCUUGGCCUGGCUUACAGACAGUGAAGGAGUAAAAAUAAAUGCCUCAGGUUUGCUUUUUGAUUCAUUUGAUAAACAAAGCAUCUUUUAUGUGGAAUGUACCUUUCUGGGUCCUGAGGAUGAGAGAGGUGAGGGCAUUAGACUACUGACAGCUGAAGAUAGAAGAACAUCUUUGGCUUGAUUGUGUAAAUAAUAUUUCUGUGCCUAUUCUCUGCAAGGUCCUAUGCUUGGUAAAUUAGUAAAUUAAAUAGGUCUGAUCCAGAAGACACACUCAAUUGCCUUUGAGAUUUAAAAAAAAAAAAAGAAAAAAGAAAAAGGCAAGUUUCUUUCAAAAUGGAGACAUUUUUCCUAGUUUCAGGAAUCCCCCAAAUCACUUGCUCAUUGGCUUAGUUUGAAGCCAGGAGACUGAUGAAAGGACUCAGGGUUUGUUCUUUAAUUUAUUAAGCAAACAUUCUGCUUUUAUUGCAGUUACAUGGUUCAAGAUGAAACAACUAGUUUUAAAGGUAUUUGCUCAUUGGUCUGGCUUAGAGACAGGAAGACAUUUGAGCAAUACAAAAAAUUCUUUCCCAUUUACCAUAUUUAGUAAAAAUUUAUUAAAACUGAAUAAAGUGCUGUUCUUAAGUGCUUGAAAGACCUAAACCAAAGUGCACUUUAUCUCAUUUAUCUUAUGGUGGAAACACAGGAACACAUUCUCUAAGAGACUGUUUCUUUAGUUGAGAGGAAACUUCAUUGAGUAGCUGUGAUAUGUUCGUUACUAAGGAAAAACUAAACAGAUCACCUUUGACAUGCUCUGUAGAGUGGGAAUAAGAAAGGGCUUUUUAUUUUUUCAGUCAUAUGAAUAUUGAUGAAGAUGAUACUAAAUGCUAAAUGAAAUACAUCUGCUCCAAAAGUCAUUUAUUUUGACUUGGAGAUGCAACAAAAACACAAUAAAUGGAAUGAAGUGAUACUCUUCAUCAAACAGAAGUGACUGUUAUAUCAACCAUUGUGUUAAAUGCUAGACAGAAAACAAAAAAGAUCAUGACUAAAAGACACUUGCUUAUUAAUUGGCUUGGAAAGUAGAAUAUAGGAGAAAGGUUACUGUUUAUUAUUUUUUUUCAUGUAUUCAUUCAUUCUACAAAUAUAUUUGGGUGCCAAUAGGUACUUGGUAUAAGGUUUUUGGCCCCAGAGACAUGGGAAAAAAAAAAAUGCAUCCCUUCCCAGAGAAUGCCUAAUACUUUCCUUUUGGCUUGUUUUCUUGUUAGGGGCAUGGCUUAGUCCCUAAAUAACAUUGUGUGGUUUACUUCCUACUCCAUAUCUCUUCUACCACUCUGGCCACUACGAUAAGCAGGGAGCUGGGUUUUGUAGUGAGCUUGCUCCUUAAGUUGCAGGAACUCUCCUUAUAAUAGACACUUCAUUUUCCUAGCCCAUCCCUCAUGAAAAAUGACUGACCACUGCUGGGCACCAGGAGGGAUGAUGACUAACUAAUUCCCAAACCCCAGUCUCAUUGGUACCAGCCUUGGGGAACCACCCAUAUUUGAGCCACAAUUGGUUUUGAAGUGCAUUUACAAGUUUCUGGCAUCACUACCGCUACUGAUUAAACAAGAAUAAGAGAACAUUUUAUCAUCAUCUGCUUUAUUCACAUAAAUGAAGUUGUGAUGAAUAAAUCUGCUUUUAUGCAGACACAAGGAAUUAAGUGGCUUCGUCAUUGCCCUUCUACCUCAAGAGAAUUUAUCCCAAAAUGCUAAGAUAAAUGGAAGACUCUUGAACUUGUGAACUGAUGGGAAAUGCAGAAUCUCUUUUGAGUCUUUGCUGUUUUGAAGAUUGAAAAAUAUUGUUCAGCAUGGGUGACCACCAAAAAGUAAUCUUAAGCCAUCUAGAUGUCACAAUUGAAACAAACUGGGGAGUUGAGUUGCUAUUGUAAAAUAAAAUAUACUGCUUUGAAAACUUUG